UGGUGAGACUAGUUGUAGUUGUUUAGUAAUUGCAUUGCGUUCAUAUUUAUCGCUUCUGCUGUGAUUGAUUUACUAACCGUUGAUGUUUGUUUGUUUAAGUGUGGGUUGAAGGGGGAUUGUUGUUUAUUUUGGGAACUCACUGAGUAAUUUCGAUUACUCAUCCCCUCUUCUUCUAUGCAGGUAACCUUAGGAGGGAAGCUUAGAUGGCAGCGGAACAUUUGGAGUGGCAUAGGCAUAAGCAAGGACUAGCUUUUCAAUGUAUAAUUACUUUUCUUUUUUUUGGCUCUAGGCCGAGCGCUCAAACUUUGAUAUUUUGUAUUGUAUUUUUGUAAUGACACUUUCCACCUUUAAUGAAUAAAAGUUUAUUUAUAUUCGUUGUUGUGUGUUGAAUGAUAUAAGACCUUGUCCGGGUCGACACAACUCGACGAUCAUGGUACGUGUUGAAAAGCCUUAGGCCAUGGUC
Molecule: long non-coding RNA, 463 nt
Filed under: Brassica napus (rape)
Lineage: Eukaryota; Viridiplantae; Streptophyta; Magnoliopsida; Brassicales; Brassicaceae
Description: long non-coding RNA (BNAP_LNC015000)
Source: RNAcentral